This 253-nucleotide ribosomal RNA is filed under the name uncultured bacterium. Its description in RNAcentral is "partial 16S ribosomal RNA". It matches the Rfam family "Bacterial small subunit ribosomal RNA", at positions 524 to 776 of the family's 1533-position model. The record is from RNAcentral.
UACGUAGGGCGCAAGCGUUAUCCGGAAUUAUUGGGCGUAAAGAGCUCGUAGGCGGUUUGUCGCGUCUGCCGUGAAAGUCCGGGGCUCAACUCCGGAUCUGCGGUGGGUACGGGCAGACUAGAGUGAUGUAGGGGAGACUGGAAUUCCUGGUGUAGCGGUGAAAUGCGCAGAUAUCUGGAGGAACACCGAUGGCGAAGGCAGGUCUCUGGGCAUUAACUGACGCUGAGGAGCGAAAGCAUGGGGAGCGAACAGG